Phascolarctos cinereus (koala) is the source of this 396-nucleotide non-coding RNA. The record is from RefSeq and is a predicted model, not a curated record. NCBI's taxonomy places the organism in Eukaryota, Metazoa, Chordata, Mammalia, Diprotodontia, Phascolarctidae.
UCGCAACCCCGGCAGACGCUUCCGCUUCCCGGCGGCCGUAAAGCGCAGACAAGUGGUGUCGUAGUAGGCAGGAGCUAGGGAGACUAGGGGCGUCCUGGAGCCAUGAUCGAGGCUGCUGUAAUGAUCGGCUGGGCAAGAAGGUCAGUGUGAAGUGCAACACCACGCCUCAAUAGGAGACCUGAAGAAACUGAUUGCUGCACAGACAGGCACCCGUUGGAACAAGAUUGUUCUGAAGAAAUGGUACACAAUCUUCAAGGACCAUGUGACUCUAGGGGACUAUGAGAUCCACGAUGGAAUGAACUUGGAGCUUUAUUACCAAUAAGGGUAGCAACACCCCAUCCCCCAAAUCUGCACCUCUCUUCCCUUUUUAAAAGCUAAUAAAAUAACUUCAAUGAU